CAAUGGGAAAGGAUGUCAAAGAAUAGUUUCACAUUCUGCUGUUUAAUGGUUAUGGUCAUUAUGUAUUAUUGUUGGAACCUGGCGAUACAAGCCACUGAAUAUACUGUGAACAGAGAUACUUCAAACCUGCUGUUCUCCUCUUCAAUAACAUACCAAGUAAGGGCAGAGAAGACCAUCAUAAUCACCAUAACCAUCACUGCAGUACGGUGAAUAUGCCUUAACAGAAGUGCAGAUGCUAACAGGUCGACUGUGUCCCCCAUCCUGCCGAUGAUAAAUGAACUAAUAUGGAUCAGCGACGGAAUGAUACUGAAGGGUCUCGAAGAAAAAUAUAUGUCAGUACUCCUAUAUCCUCUACACAUCCCACUGGACUGACCUAGCAUUAAAUCAAAGUGACCACAGUGAGAAGCUGGCAACUGCCUGAGCUAUGGCAUGGCCUCCAUCACAAGAUAAAUUAUAUCUCAAACAGUUAAAAGUAUUAAUCUGUUUCAGUACUGUAUAAUGAAUAUGAGUAUUGUAGAACAUCCUCAGCUAUGUCCAAAAGGAUGUGAUCAUUUACAAAUACCACACUAUCAAUGUUAUAAUUUCUGCUAAAUGCAAAGCUUCAAUGUCUGGUCAGUCUCCAUUUCUGUAUUAUUUUGUUGAUAUGUAUGAUGAAUAGUAAUGGUGAGAUUAUUGCCUUGCCUCACACUUGUUUAUUUCUUUCCAUGCUAUGAAAUUAUAAACACAACUAACAGCAGUAAAAAUGAAGGUGACAUAUGCAGGA
Non-coding RNA from Zootermopsis nevadensis, 763 nucleotides. The record is from RefSeq and is a predicted model, not a curated record. Lineage: Eukaryota; Metazoa; Arthropoda; Insecta; Blattodea; Termopsidae.